GUGGGGAAUCUUGCGCAAUGGGCGAAAGCCUGACGCAGCCAUGCCGCGUGAAUGAUGAAGGUCUUAGGAUUGUAAAAUUCUUUCACCGGGGACGAUAAUGACGGUACCCGGAGAAGAAGCUCCGGCUAACUUCGUGCCAGCAGCCGCGGUAAUACGAAGGGGGCUAGCGUUGCUCGGAAUUACUGGGCGUAAAGGGCGCGUAGGCGGACAGCUUAGUCAGAGGUGAAAGCCAAGGGCUCAACCUUGGAAUUGCCUUUGAUACUGGCUGUCUUGAGUUUGGGAGAGGUGAGUGGAACUCCGAGUGUAGAGGUGAAAUUCGUAGAUAUUCGGAAGAACACCAGUGGCGAAGGCGACUCACUGGCCCAAUACUGACGCUGAGGCGCGAAAGCGUGGGGAGCAAACAGGAUUAGAUACCCGUGUAGUCC
Molecule: ribosomal RNA, 425 nt
Filed under: uncultured bacterium
Lineage: Bacteria
Description: partial 16S ribosomal RNA
Rfam family: Bacterial small subunit ribosomal RNA
Source: RNAcentral